Molecule: ribosomal RNA, 148 nt
Filed under: Solanum virginianum
Lineage: Eukaryota; Viridiplantae; Streptophyta; Magnoliopsida; Solanales; Solanaceae
Description: partial 18S rRNA
Rfam family: 5.8S ribosomal RNA
About the family: 5.8S ribosomal RNA (5.8S rRNA) is a component of the large subunit of the eukaryotic ribosome. It is transcribed by RNA polymerase I as part of the 45S precursor that also contains 18S and 28S rRNA.
Source: RNAcentral
GGCAACGGAUAUCUCGGCUCUCGCAUCGAUGAAGAACGUAGCGAAAUGCGAUACUUGGUGUGAAUUGCAGAAUCCCGUGAACCAUCGAGUCUUUGAACGCAAGUUGCGCCCGAAGCCGUCAGGCCGAGGGCACGUCUGCCUGGGCGUC